GUGGGGAUAGCUCAGUGGUAGAGCGCGUGCUUAGCAUGCACAAGACCCUGGAUUCCAUCCUCAGUACCUCUG
RNAcentral lists this transfer RNA (72 nucleotides) under Camelus ferus (Wild Bactrian camel). It matches the Rfam family "tRNA". From Rfam's summary of the family: Transfer RNA (tRNA) molecules are approximately 80 nucleotides in length. Their secondary structure includes four short double-helical elements and three loops (D, anti-codon, and T loops). Further hydrogen bonds mediate the characteristic L-shaped molecular structure. tRNAs have two regions of fundamental functional importance: the anti-codon, which is responsible for specific mRNA codon recognition, and the 3' end, to which the tRNAs corresponding amino acid is attached (by aminoacyl-tRNA synthetases). tRNAs cope with the degeneracy of the genetic code in two manners: having more than one tRNA (with a specific anti-codon) for a particular amino acid; and 'wobble' base-pairing, i.e. permitting non-standard base-pairing at the 3rd anti-codon position. Lineage: Eukaryota; Metazoa; Chordata; Mammalia; Artiodactyla; Camelidae. The record is from Rfam by way of RNAcentral.